This is a long non-coding RNA of Mytilus californianus (California mussel), 126 nucleotides long. RefSeq lists it as uncharacterized. NCBI's taxonomy places the organism in Eukaryota, Metazoa, Mollusca, Bivalvia, Mytilida, Mytilidae. The transcript is spliced from 3 exons. The record is from RefSeq and is a predicted model, not a curated record.
AUCUUUAGGUAUCUGACUGUUAGGUACAACAUCUUCCUGUGGUACAUCAGCUGGUCUUUGAUUUAGACCUGGUAUGUAUCUCUGGGCAGUCUGGGAAGCUUUAAACAUUCUUUUAUCUAAAAAAAA